AAUAAAAGAAUGGCAAAUCAGAUUUUUCCUCCUAAUUUUUAGCUUUCUCCUCAUGAAAAACGUUAAAUCCAACUAAAAAUGCUAAAAAUUAAGAGGAAAAAUAUGAUUUAUCAUUCUCCCAUU
Non-coding RNA from Gossypium raimondii (Peruvian cotton), 123 nucleotides. NCBI's taxonomy places the organism in Eukaryota, Viridiplantae, Streptophyta, Magnoliopsida, Malvales, Malvaceae. The record is from Rfam.